CCAGACUCCCUACGGAAGGCAGCAGUGGGGAAUAUUGGACAAUGGGCGCAAGCCUGAUCCAGCAAUGCCGCGUGAGUGAUGAAGGCCCUUAGGGUUGUAAGCUCUUUCGGCGGGGACGAUGAUGACGGUACCCGCAGAAGAAGCCCCGGCUACUUCGUGCCAGCAGCCGCGGUAAUACGAAGGGGGCUAGCGUUGUUCGGAAUUACUGGGCGUAAAGGGCGCGUAGGCGGUGUAACAAGUUAGGCGUGAAAGCCCCGGGCUCAACCUGGGAAUUGCGCUUGAUACUGUUAUGCUAGAGUUCGGGAGAGGUGAGUGGAAUUCCCAGUGUAAGGUGAAAUUCGUAGAUUUGGGAAGAACACCAGUG
This 364-nucleotide ribosomal RNA is filed under the name uncultured bacterium. RNAcentral describes it as "bacterial SSU rRNA". It matches the Rfam family "Bacterial small subunit ribosomal RNA", at positions 331 to 714 of the family's 1533-position model. The record is from RNAcentral.